RNAcentral lists this ribosomal RNA (533 nucleotides) under uncultured bacterium. RNAcentral describes it as "bacterial SSU rRNA". It matches the Rfam family "Bacterial small subunit ribosomal RNA", at positions 337 to 880 of the family's 1533-position model. The record is from RNAcentral.
UCCUACGGGGGGCAGCAGUGGGGAAUAUUGCGCAAUGGGCGAAAGCCUGACGCAGCAACGCCGCGUGCGGGAUGAAGGCCUUCGGGUUGUAAACCGCUUUCAGCAGGGAAGAAGCGAAAGUGACGGUACCUGCAGAAGAAGCACCGGCUAACUACGUGCCAGCAGCCGCGGUAAUACGUAGGGUGCAAGCGUUGUCCGGAUUUAUUGGGCGUAAAGAGCUCGUAGGCGGUUAGUCACGUCGGAUGUGAAAACCCGGAGCUUAACUCCGGGCCUGCAUUCGAUACGGGCUGACUCGAGUGUUGUAGGGGAGACUGGAACUCCUGGUGUAGCGGUGAAAUGCGCAGAUAUCAGGAAGAACACCGGUGGCGAAGGCGGGUCUCUGGGCAACUACUGACGCUGAGGAGCGAAAGCGUGGGGAGCAAACAGGAUUAGAUACCCUGGUAGUCCACGCCGUAAACGGUGGGCGCUAGGUGUGGGGAACAUUCCACGUUCUCCGUGCCGCAGCUAACGCAUUAAGCGCCCCGCCUGGGGAG